AGGGAACGAUGGAGGCAGGCCUAACACAUGCAAGUCGAGCGGAUGAAGGGAGCUUGCUCCUGGAUUCAGCGGCGGACGGGUGAGUAAUGCCUAGGAAUCUGCCUGGUAGUGGGGGAUAACGUCCGGAAACGGGCGCUAAUACCUCAUACGUCCUGAGGGAGAAAGUGGGGGAUCUUCGGACCUCACGCUAUCAGAUGAGCCUAGGUCGGAUUAGCUAGUUGGUGGGGUAAAGGCCUACCAAGGCGACGAUCCGUAACUGGUCUGAGAGGAUGAUCAGUCACACUGGAACUGAGACACGGUCCAGACUCCUACGGGAGGCAGCAGUGGGGAAUAUUGGACAAUGGGCGAAAGCCUGAUCCAGCCAUGCCGCGUGUGUGAAGAAGGUCUUCGGAUUGUAAAGCACUUUAAGUUGGGAGGAAGGGCAGUAAGUUAAUACCUUGCUGUUUUGACGUUACCAACAGAAUAAGCACCGGCUAACUUCGUG
This 484-nucleotide ribosomal RNA is filed under the name uncultured bacterium. Its description in RNAcentral is "partial 16S ribosomal RNA". It matches the Rfam family "Bacterial small subunit ribosomal RNA", at positions 31 to 507 of the family's 1533-position model. The record is from RNAcentral.